This 293-nucleotide ribosomal RNA is filed under the name uncultured bacterium. Its description in RNAcentral is "partial 16S ribosomal RNA". It matches the Rfam family "Archaeal small subunit ribosomal RNA", at positions 455 to 747 of the family's 1478-position model. The record is from RNAcentral.
GUGCCAGCCGCCGCGGUAAUACCGGCAGCUCAGGUGAUGGCCACUCUUAUUGGGCCUAAAGCGUCCGUAGCUGGCCGCACAAGUCCGUCGGGAAAUCCGCCCGCUCAACGGGCGGCCGUCCGGCGGAACCUGUGUGGCUUGGGACCGGGAGGCCUGAGGGGUACGAUCGGGGUAGGAGUGAAAUCCUGUAAUCCUGGACGGACCGCCGGUGGCGAAAGCGCCUCGGGAGGACGGACCCGACGGUGAGGGACGAAAGCCAGGGUCUCGAACCGGAUUAGAUACCCGUGUAGUCC